UGGGGAAUAUUGGACAAUGGGCGCAAGCCUGAUCCAGCCAUGCCGCGUGAGUGAUGAAGGCCCUAGGGUUGUAAAGCUCUUUCACCGGAGAAGAUAAUGACGGUAACCGGAGAAGAAGCGCCGGCUAACUCCGUGCCAGCAGCCGCGGUAAUACGAAGGGGGCUAGCGUUGUUCGGAGUUACUGGGCGUAAAGCGCACGUAGGCGGUCUUUUAAGUCAGGGGUGAAAUCCCGGGGCUCAACCCCCUAACUGCGGUUGAUACUGGAAGUCUAGAGUAUGGUAGAGGUGGGUGGAAUUCCGAGUGUAGAGGUGAAAUUCGUAGAUAUUCGGAGGAACACCAGUGGCGAAGGCGUGUCACUGGGCCAUUACUGACACUCAGGUGCGAAAGCGUGGGGAGCGAACAGG
RNAcentral lists this ribosomal RNA (404 nucleotides) under Actinomycetes bacterium. RNAcentral's name for it is "Actinobacteria bacterium partial 16S ribosomal RNA". It matches the Rfam family "Bacterial small subunit ribosomal RNA", at positions 355 to 776 of the family's 1533-position model. Lineage: Bacteria; Bacillati; Actinomycetota; Actinomycetes. The record is from RNAcentral.